UACAGAGGAUGCAAGCGUUAUCCGGAAUGAUUGGGCGUAAAGCGUCUGUAGGUGGCUUUUUAAGUCCGCCGUCAAAUCCCAGGGCUCAACUCUGGACAGGCGGUGGAAACUACCAAGCUGGAGUACGGUAGGGGCAGAGGGAAUUUCCGGUGGAGCGGUGAAAUGCGUAAAGAUCGGAAGGAACAUCAGUUGCGAAGGCGUCUACCUGGCCUGAUACUGACACUGAGGCACGAAAGCGUGGGGAGCAAACAGG
RNAcentral lists this ribosomal RNA (253 nucleotides) under uncultured bacterium. Its description in RNAcentral is "partial 16S ribosomal RNA". It matches the Rfam family "Bacterial small subunit ribosomal RNA", at positions 524 to 776 of the family's 1533-position model. The record is from RNAcentral.